GCUGAUGCUGCUGUGCUGUGGUUCAUGGACAUUAUGAAAAGUAUCCACCAAAAAAUGAAUAUGAUUAUGAUAUUAAUACUCCAGUAGAAGAUGAUACUUGCUCCACUGAUGGUAAGUAUUGUAAAUUUACUAACAUUACAAAUUGUAAUGUUAGUAAACAUAAUAUUCAUCAUUUUUGUAGCUGAAAUUGUGCAGCCAAAUACAACAUCAGUCCCUUUAAACAGAGCUGAUGUAUAUGAUUGUAGCGGAUCAAUUACUAAUAAUUAUAAUAUCAAUGAAUGUGAAUGAAGUUUUACCUAUUCACUUUCCAACAGAAAAUUCCUUUAUUGAUAAAUCACUGAGUGUUGAAGAGAAGCCAGGAGCACUUGUAACAGACAUUAUGUUAAACAAUUCUACUGAAGUGGUAUAACAAUUAAUAUUAUUUUUAUGACAAACUCCAUUGAAUUAUUUUUUAUUAUCAACAGGUUGCUACAAGUUGUGAAGUAAUGACAAGUAAUGAAUACAGUACACCAAAUGUUUCUGAAGAUUAUUCAGAUUAUAAAAAUCAUGGGGUGAGUACUAUUUUAAAUAAGACAGUACUUUAUUUUGUUUAAUUUAGGUACCAGAAGUAAUGCAACGCACUGGUAAUAAAGUAAACUUACUAACACAAAUUUUUCA
Amphimedon queenslandica is the source of this 657-nucleotide long non-coding RNA. RefSeq lists it as uncharacterized. The record is from RefSeq and is a predicted model, not a curated record. NCBI's taxonomy places the organism in Eukaryota, Metazoa, Porifera, Demospongiae, Haplosclerida, Niphatidae. The transcript has 2 exons.